GAUGAACGCUGGCGGCGUGCCUAAUACAUGCAAGUCGAGCGAACAGAUGAGAAGCUUGCUUCUCUGAUGUUAGCGGCGGACGGGUGAGUAACACGUGGGUAACCUACCUAUAAGACUGGGAUAACUCCGGGAAACCGGGGCUAAUACCGGAUAAUAUUUUGAACCGCAUGGUUCAAUAGUGAAAGACGGUUUCGGCUGUCACUUAUAGAUGGACCCGCGCCGUAUUAGCUAGUUGGUAAGGUAACGGCUAACCAAGGCGACGAGACGUAGCCGACCUGAGAGGGUGAGCGUCCACGCUAGAACUGAUACACGGUCCAGACUCGUACGGGAGUCAGCAGUAGGGAAUCAUCCGCAAUGGGCGAAAGCCUGACGGAGCAACGCCGCGUGAGUGAUGAAGGUCUUCGGAUAGUAAAACUCUGUUGUUAGGGAAGAACAAAUUUGUUAGUAGCUGUACAAGUCUUGACGGUACCUAACCAGAAAGCCACGGCUAACUACGUGCCAGCAGCCGCGGUAA
This 514-nucleotide ribosomal RNA is filed under the name uncultured bacterium. RNAcentral describes it as "partial 16S ribosomal RNA". It matches the Rfam family "Bacterial small subunit ribosomal RNA", at positions 28 to 523 of the family's 1533-position model. The record is from RNAcentral.